This 1116-nucleotide long non-coding RNA is filed under the name Felis catus (domestic cat). RNAcentral describes it as "lncRNA (ENSFCAG00000049575.1)". The record is from RNAcentral. Lineage: Eukaryota; Metazoa; Chordata; Mammalia; Carnivora; Felidae.
UUUAUUCCGUUUGGGAGACUAAUUCUGAUACCUUCACCCGUCAACUUUCCCCUUUUCUCCCGUCUUUCAAAUGCCUUUCGACUUCACCUCCAAACUCUCCCUCUGACUCCAAGACCUGAAUAUGGGACUCUCACCAGCACCUCCUCACCGCCACUGCGUCUCCCUUACCAAGAUUCCUUGCCCGUAGUUAUCUCCGUUUUUCCAAAUGCUCAGGAUCCCAGCUCCAACCCCUCACCCCUUUUCCAGAACACUAGAGCCCCGAAUUCAACCCGUCCGGGAGACUCGAAUUGUCCUAAUCUCCAGAUUUCCUGCCCCAAAAGUUCCUUCCUCGGUCCUCUCGCUUCUCCAAACACCCCAUGUCCCAGCUUCAAACUCCCUCCACUUGAAGAUCUUGCCCCAACAACUUCGCCUUCAGUCCGGGAUCUCGAUUUCAGUCUCGAAGCCCCACCAACCCUAUCAGUCACCCUUAUCUGCGCCCCCGACUCACGCCCAGACCCCGCCUCCACGACUCUCGGGGGGCGCGCCUCCACCUUCCCUAAACUAAGGCAAAUCUCAAGCCAGGUGGACUCUCUCACCUCAGCUGCCAGGUUCGCAAUGACCAAGUCGUGGAACGUCCGUAGCUUUUACAACCCAACAGUGCUGGGUACGAGCCUCGCUCACCUCCCCAGGGCCUCUUGGUUUGGCCUCCGGCCCACCCCGCUCCGCCCAGGAGCCGAACCGCGAGCCGCGAUUGGCUGGAGCCCUGCCCGCUGCGGGGCGCGGAUUGGCUGGGUGGAGCCACCGGUCCGUCGCCAGGAGACACCCGGCCGGCCCUCCCUUUCCUUACACCCCGGACCUUUUAAAGGAUUCCGACUCGCCCGGGGGAGGGGCCACGUCUCUAGGGUGGAGGGUGGCGGGGACGUCAGAACUGUUUCCUUCAAUUCAGCCACUGUCCUCGCUCCAAAGUCGUCAACAUUGAUCUCUGCGAUGCCUUUAUACCAGGUGAGGACCCUGUCGGGGAGCGAGGCUGGUCGGCACGCCCCUCCCCACCCUCUUUUCCAGGCGGGCGGGGCUGAGCCACUCGCGGAGGCCGCGCCCCCGGGGUUCCGAGGGCGGACGCUGCGGGGCGGAGGAUGA